Molecule: long non-coding RNA, 6815 nt
Filed under: Cricetulus griseus (Chinese hamster)
Lineage: Eukaryota; Metazoa; Chordata; Mammalia; Rodentia; Cricetidae
Description: lncRNA (ENSCGRG00015039464.1)
Source: RNAcentral
GUCUCAGUUAACUCCUAUACAGCACACUGUGGCCGGUCGUGGUCAAUGGCGAUUGCACCCCCUCCAGGAUUACUUCCUAUCCUGCAGUGGCUGGUUAAAAACUACAGUUCCCAGAAUGCCUUGCAGCUUAUAGUCCUCGUGUGAUUUUGAUUCAUCCAUUUGGAAGUCAGAACCGGAACUCCUCACUGAGCUAAGUAGGGUGAUACGGAGUUUGAAGUGUGCUAUUCGGUUUUCUGAUAUAUACCCAGAUGGUCUAACAGUUUGACUCUGGAGUCAGCGGUGGUAAUGGCAGAUUUCAAAUCUCUUCGUUUCCCGUGUUCUUGGACUACUCCUGUGGUGAUGUGAUCCUGCGUUCAGAAGUUUGGACAGUGGCCUCCUGUUUCCCCCGCUUUCUGACUGGCAGAUAUCCAACACUGCUGCCGAAGGGCCGCCAUCUCUAUUAACCCCUAGGAAAGGCAAUUCUCUCAAGACACUGGAGUCUACCUGACGAGGUUCCCUUCCCGAGACACUGCUGGAGACUUGGCUUUAUGUUCAGAAGCUAGCAGAAUUCCAAUGAAGCUGAUACCUUGCCAUUUCCACCUUUGAGGAUGCCUUGCAGGUCUCUGGAUUGGCUAGAACACCUGCAGGUGUCUCCUAUGGCUGGCGGCUGGAAUCUGGCUUUCAUCAGUGCUAAAGACCCAACCUCAGGAAGCCCUGCAAAAAGAAUCAGGUGUUGGAGUCUAGCAGUCAUGAACCCUAUUUUGUUCAGAUGGCAAGGAGCUGGUAUUACCAAGGAUGGCAUCUGUAGCAGCUGAUGUGUCCAAGUUAGCCUCUGAAGGAAAAGGGUUGACUUUCCUCCACCAUUGGGAUGUGCAGGGAUUUGGGAAAGAUGAGCUAACCUCUCUUGAGUUUCACCAUCUGUAAAAUGAGGAUGAACGAAUUUGCCUUGAGCCAGUGAGAUGGCUCAGUGAGUAAAAGCUCUUGCAGCUAAGCCUGAAGACCCGAGUUCCAUCCCUAAGAACUGACUCAUGCAAAUUGUCCUCUGACCUCCAAAUGUGCAUCAUGAUGCUCACGUGCACUCAAGCAUGCACUCAUACACACUAAAUAAGUAAAUAAACAAAAAAAACGUAGUAACAAAACUAAUCUGUGCUGGAGACUUCAUUACCCUUCAUUGUUCCGGAAUCUCAAUGUUCUCUGAACAUUAGAUGGUACAUAGCUGGCUUCUUGUUUUAAUAGUAAAACAGCAUGGUUAUUAAGCCGACUUUCUUAUCUAGGUGUUCACCCAAGUGAAAUUUGCCUCAUCAGAGUACAAGGACAUUUUCAGAGGUGGGAUCCGAAGCACCGAAGCCAGAUAUUGCCCAAGGUCACACACAUGGUGGGUAGAGGGCCCGGCAGAGCCUCUCUAUUCCACUCAUACAGAAGAUGCACAAUACCCAGUUGCUGGGGAAGGAAGGACCCUGGGUUAACGGAUGUGGAAUAAUUGGAGUAGAAGUGUCCAGAGGGUACCAGGCAUGGCUCUCCAGGCCGGUCUUUUGAAGGUGUUUUCUAUGGUUGAUAUGAUAAGAAGCAAGUACCAUCCCAAAGUCAAUGUGAAAUAGAAGACAAAGAGACAGUGUCCAACAUUUGAGAAGUUAUAUAGUGCCCAACAAGUACACAUAGCCCAUUGGAGAUGGAUUUACAAAUGAGCUGAAGAGGUUUCAGCCAUACUACCUGUGAUGUACUGUUUCUCCAUCUUUGGAUGCAGAAUAGCCGUUCAGGCCAUUAAGAAAGUAACAUGCAUGCAUGCACACACAUGAACUUCAACUGACAGCACAAUACAGCAGGAGGGAAGCAGGGACCCAUGAAGGACCUAUUUCAUGAACAUAAAUGGUCACCUACCAUUUGUCCCAACUUUAUGAAGUUGUCACAAGCCCCUCUCUUCCCCACUUUACUCAAGUUUACAUGAGAGGAGUCACGGCACAGACGAUCUGAAAUGCUACCUGCCUCCUCUGCUUCAGUUUACCAAAGAAAGACCUUGGACAGGCUUGAACCAGACACCUCGCUAGUCUGUGAGCCCCACUGUGACAGCCACGUGAUUCCUAAGCACAUCACCACUCCUCCUUAGGACAACAAUGAUUACUUUCCAUAAAUAAAUUAUUAUGUUUCGGCAUUAAGAUGGAAGGCUUCCAAUAAGUAACUCUACUGGGUUCCCAAAACUCUGAGCUUUUACUGUGGUUAUACUCAUUUCACAGAGAUAACAUUGAAGCUUACGACUUUAAUAACCUAUUCAGAUCUACCGAGGCAGUUGAUAAUUAGCAGAAGGGAGAUGCAAACCUAAGCCUUCCUGAACUGUGACCCCUUGUCUGGACCAAGGAUGUCAAUGACAUGUGUGUUUCUGAGGAUACUAGGCUGUUAAGAAAGAAGGAGAUGGAUAAAAGAUGUUUAAGAGAAAGGGGCUUGGCCAGUUUUCUUACACUUCAUACAAUGAACCAUGCUGAGUUCACAGUCUGCUUCAAGUCUCUUUUCCCUGAGAUGAGGGCAGAUCAAACCACAAUAUCCCCCAUUCAUUCAUUCAUGACUUGAGUUAGACAAAUCUGGGUCUGUUCAAUGAAAAUACAAGAUUAAAUAAGACCUGGUUUCUACUCUGAGUAAGCUCACCAUCUGAUGAGGGGGAAAAGACUUAUAAAUUAAUUAUUAGACUCCAUAUAAUAAAUGCUCCCUGGUGGAUGGAAAUACUGUGGAGUCAAGGGGAAGAACAACUGGGGGGGAAAAAAGAGCCUGAAGCAACAGAAAGAGCUUGGAACCAACUUUGAAAGACAGCAAAACAACUGGAUGUGAUUCUUAUCUCUGUGACCUUGAACCAGUUGAAAUGCUUUGAGCUGUACCGUUUUUUUUGUGCAGGAAAACAGCGUCAAUUGAACAGCGUGACCAACCCUGAAAGAACUGCACAGGGGAUUAAAUGGGUUAACAUAAGCGAAAACAUUGCCAUUCAUCAGCAAAAUGGCCAAGCUGGAAAAUACAGAUGAACCGAGUGUGUAGAGGCAGAAAGGCAAUGCAAAGAGUUCUGUGAUAUGGGAUUAUGUAGCAGUGUAAUAAUAUAGAUGUGGCUGCUACAGAAAAUGCGCUGUCUUGGGACUUUGAAAUCACCAGCCAUGCUUCAAGGGAACAAAUCUCUCCAUAUGGUUUUGAGGAGAACACACAAAAAAAAUAUUUUCCAGCCACUUUCAGAUAUAAUUCCUCCUUAGGUAGGAGGGAAAAGAGGAUAACUAUCCAUCAGAUCUCAGAGAAAUCGAUCAACUCGCACGUGUCUGCCGAUCCGGCCAUGUGCCCAUCACUAUGUUUGUUUCUGUGCAGAACGUCACACGAGGUAGCUGGGGAAGAAAGAACCAUGCACACUGAAUAAUUAACAGCCUUCGUGGAGGAGGUGGCAAGACCUUAAAGGAAGGCUAAGAUUCAAAGGAGAGGGUGAGGAAGAUGAAUGAAGGGGAAGGGAGGAGCAGGUGAAAGGCGUGAUAAAGACAAUGAAGGAAAGGUGAAGAGUGAGAAGAGAGAACAGGAACCGCACAUAGAAACAGUAUUAGAGAGAGAAGGACCCAAGUGGGCCUGAGCCUGAAAGGCUACAUGGAGGCUAAACAUCUGGAUGAAGCCAAAUUAUGAUCUAGAUUGAGGAAUCUGGGUCUGACGCUUGUGUGACUUGGUCAGUGACAGGGCAUUGCCACAGAAGAAGGAAUGCAAUCUGACUGACAAUUGGGGGAAACAACAAACAGGAAAUAGUUCUGAUCAGACCGUGGCAUCUAAAAAAGCUAAAGAAGGUUACUGAAGGAAUACAUUUUGUGAGUUAAAAGUGGAAGAUCCCUGGAGACACUAAGUCUCAAGCAAGAAAGUCACUCAGGAGGCUGGUGUGUACCAUCCAGGAAGGAAUGUGGUGGCUGGUGGCUGUCAGGGAUGGAUGGAGAGAUCAGCCAGAGAGAGGCACACCUUCAUCAAGUCUCAGCGGCUGAGGGACACUGGCUUGCUUGCCCCCAUGGUAGGCAAGAUCAGAACCGACCUUCAGGUUUUGGAGUGACAGUUGAGAGGUGCGAUUUGGUGAAGCAAGACAGCUGAAGAGAAAUAGUGCCCACACAAAUGUUAGGAAUCGCCUCAGAGGACCUGGGACGGCUGAGAAUCUAAGAGUUACUUCUGCCUCAAGGGUCUCCCGCGUUUUUGUAAUGCCAAGGACAGAAAAGGACAAGAGAGUGCUACCGUCCCAGCCCCAGGCAUUGUGCCUGCGGUGGAGGUCUCUGCCCAAGGCGGACGCCAGGGGUCAGUGCAGGCCCAGCUUCCCCAGCUGGAGCAUCGCCGAGGUCUCCUGCCUUCAGCGAGUGUUCAUUACGGGAAAGAAUUUAAGAGAACUCUAAAUGGCAGAUUCGUUUAUGAUAGCAGCAUUUACAGGCAGUUGUAAUUAUAGUGUAUGGAAAACAAUUAUUCCCUCCUAAAAUUGCUCUUUUAAUUUUCUCUUAUUUGUCCCACAGUGAAUGUUAAAUAAGCCUCAUUGCCUUGCAGACAGCCUCCGAUAUGUGCACAGAGAGAAGCUCCUAAGCACACACCACACUGUAACCUGCACACGCGCACACUCAUUCCUAGUAUACAUGAUAGGCAAGCUCUGAAAAGCACACGGGUCCAGUCAAUAGCUUCCCACUACAGCCCCAUCCCAAGCACAGUUCAGGGAUGCCAUGUGGGAAACUCCUCCCCAUCCAUCAGAACAGGCCUCAGGAGGCACUACUCAGUGAACCCUUCCUCUCCCUCCUGAGUCCCAGACAAGUCUUUGCAGCUCCAAACUGUAUUGCACCGUGUUUCUGGGCAGACAUCUUCACCUCACAAACUUUCAUCCACUCCUUUGUCUACACUCCUCUCUUUACAUAUAAGAUUCUUAAGCCACAAAGUUCUUGCUUUUUUUUUUUUUUUUUUUAUCACCAGUCUCCUAACACUUGGCCAGUGGGAAAGCCUGUUACUGGUCCCUGUCUCUGCCGAUGGCUCAAGAUAGUGUGCUCCCGAAGGAAGCCACAAAUUGAAUAUCUUCCCAAAAUGUUAGUUUGCAAGGAGCUGUGUUUUCACUUCCAACCUCUACCAAGGAGAGUAGAAAACCAGUCAAGGUCCAGGGCUGAAUGCAUCUUUGUGGAGACUUCAGUCACAUUGUGGAACCCUGACCAAAAUGGAUCCUAUUUCAAAGUGUCUUGGACCUUAGUGAGGUUUCAAAGACUUGGGGCUCAACAGAGGUCUCCAAUCGUCCUUGAGGAGAAAACAAAUGUCUUUAAACUCAGACUGUGGGACAGAGAGGUGGGAAUGGGAAACAAAACACAUCUUCACAGUCAAGGACCAAUGACCCUUAUUAAAUGGAUUAGGCGGUGACAUUACAUGGGUUCUCGGGCCAUUUUAGAGUGGUUAAUGUUGGCGGAUGGAGGCCAAGCUCUAUUAAGGAAGGAUGUGGAAGUCUGUCCCCCUGAUUUAAAAGUUUGCAUUGGAGGAAGGAUGUUUGCAAUUUUCGUGAAGUCUUACUGUUAAUUGGUUGUCUUGGCCUUGAAAUGGUCUUGAUUGUUAAGUAGUUCUCUCUUUUCACACAAGGAGAGAGAAAGCAGGAGGAAGGAAUUUCAUGUGAGGGACAGAAAAAAAUGAAAAUGAUACUGAUGCCAAGUGAACCGUCUGUUGGAUGUUUGAUGUUGGCAGGCUGGACUCUUCUCUAUUCAUCCAUGUUCUCUCUGUCUUGGCUCAAAUGCUUAAGGGACUUCUGAAUCUCUUUGUUUCCUGUUUCUACCACAAAUGUAUAAAAUAGUCCCAAGAAUGCCUGCCAUUUCAUAUCCAAGUCUUUUUUUUUUUUUUCUUGUUUGUGCUGCUAUAACAAAGUACCAUAGACUCAGUAGCUCACAUACAAUAAAAAGUUUAUUUCUCACAGUUCUGGAAGCUGAGAUAUCUGACAUCAACUACCACAUUAGUUGUCUGGCUCCUUAGAGACAGUGCUUUUCACUUGUUCUCACAGGCAGGGAGAUCAGCAAACUUCCUGGCACCUCGUUUAGAAGGGUACUGUCAACUGUCAUUGACCUGUGCAAAUCUGUCUGCAAGUGCUGAGAUUUGAGGACCUUAAGGAAUGGGGUGGACUACAGUUUAAUGCUUUACUUCAGUUUCAGUGUACUUCUAAACAUGACUGUAACAAAGAAAGCAACAAUCCAGGGAAGGUUGCUUGAGUUUGGAAAAAGAUGAAAGUAAACGUCAGUAAGCACAUACUAAAUAUUAACAGAGCAGCCCUUCCCGGAACUUUCUCAGGACAGACCAAUUUGAACACAAUGCCUGGCAUAGACUAUAGAAGGCCAUGUCCAGAUACAGGAUACACUGAGGGCAGCACUCAGGACAUCCUUUUCGCAAGACUGAGCUCUAUAUGUAAGUUCCUACAGGCACUAAUCCCAUUUAUGAGGGCCUUGCCCUCAUGACACAAUCUCUCCAAAUAUUGUCUGAUUGGUGAUUAGGAUUCAACACAGGAAUGUGUGGGCAUGGAGCUGAGGAAAGAAUAGUCAUUCCCAUCAUUGUACCCAGUGCUCAUAAGGUUGCAGAAUACAGGCCUGAGUUUUCAUCCUCCAUCUGUCUUAAAAGUCCCAUGAAGAAAACCAAAGGUGUUAGAAGAUAGACACAAUGUCUUGUUAAGCAUAGAUUCUAGGACUUCCAUAAGCAGUGUUUCUUAGAAAAACAUGUGUUUGAAAGUUGAAAAAGAACUAAAAUGUAUAGAAACAUAGACAAUGUAGUCUUGUAUAUUCUUAAAUUAUUUGUACACAAAAAUAUAUAAAGUAUGUAAAUGUGUUACAUGUAUUUACAUUUUACUAAACUAUUUG